Molecule: ribosomal RNA, 490 nt
Filed under: uncultured bacterium
Lineage: Bacteria
Description: bacterial SSU rRNA
Rfam family: Bacterial small subunit ribosomal RNA
Source: RNAcentral
CGCUGGCGGCGUGCCUAAUACAUGCAAGUCGAGCGGAGUUAGAGAAGCUUGCUUCUCUAACUUAGCGGCGGACGGGUGAGUAACACGUGGGCAAUCUGCCCGUAAGACUGGGAUAACUCCGGGAAACCGGGGCUAAUACCGGAUAAUCCUGACUCUCUCCUGAGAGUCAGUCGAAAGAUGGUUUCGGCUAUCACUUACGGAUGAGCCCGCGGCGCAUUAGCUAGUUGGUAGGGUAAUGGCCUACCAAGGCGACGAUGCGUAGCCGACCUGAGAGGGUGAUCGGCCACACUGGGACUGAGACACGGCCCAGACUCCUACGGGAGGCAGCAGUAGGGAAUCUUCCGCAAUGGACGAAAGUCUGAUGGAGCAACGCCGCGUGAGUGAAGAAGGUUUUCGGAUCGUAAAACUCUGUUGUAAGGGAAGAACACGUACGAGAGUAACUGCUCGUACCUUGACGGUACCUUAUUAGAAAGCCACGGCUAACUACGUG